RNAcentral lists this transfer RNA (73 nucleotides) under Attheya longicornis. Its description in RNAcentral is "tRNA-Val". It matches the Rfam family "tRNA". From Rfam's summary of the family: Transfer RNA (tRNA) molecules are approximately 80 nucleotides in length. Their secondary structure includes four short double-helical elements and three loops (D, anti-codon, and T loops). Further hydrogen bonds mediate the characteristic L-shaped molecular structure. tRNAs have two regions of fundamental functional importance: the anti-codon, which is responsible for specific mRNA codon recognition, and the 3' end, to which the tRNAs corresponding amino acid is attached (by aminoacyl-tRNA synthetases). tRNAs cope with the degeneracy of the genetic code in two manners: having more than one tRNA (with a specific anti-codon) for a particular amino acid; and 'wobble' base-pairing, i.e. permitting non-standard base-pairing at the 3rd anti-codon position. Lineage: Eukaryota; Bacillariophyta; Biddulphiophyceae; Attheyales; Attheyaceae. The record is from RNAcentral.
AAGUAAUUAGCUCAAUUGGUAGAGCGUCUCGCUUACAACGAGAAAGUUAGCGAUUCGAAUUCGUUAUUACUUA